CAGUAGCCACGGGAAUACGGAGGGUGCAAGCGUUAUCCGGAUUCACUGGGUUUAAAGGGUGCGUAGGCGGAUCUGUAAGUCAGUGGUGAAAUCUCCAGGCUUAACCUGGAAACUGCCGUUGAUACUAUAGGUCUUGAAUUUUGUGGAGGUUAGCGGAAUAUGUCAUGUAGCGGUGAAAUGCAUAGAUAUGACAUAGAACACCAAUUGCGAAGGCAGCUGGCUACACAACUAUUGACGCUGAGGCACGAAAGCGUGGGGAUCAAACAGGAUUAGAUACCCGGGUAGUCCCUGUCUCUUAUAA
This 301-nucleotide ribosomal RNA is filed under the name uncultured bacterium. RNAcentral describes it as "partial 16S ribosomal RNA". It matches the Rfam family "Bacterial small subunit ribosomal RNA", at positions 509 to 809 of the family's 1533-position model. The record is from RNAcentral.